This 28-nucleotide small RNA is filed under the name Bombyx mori (domestic silkworm). Its description in RNAcentral is "ovarian small RNA-27582". Lineage: Eukaryota; Metazoa; Arthropoda; Insecta; Lepidoptera; Bombycidae. The record is from RNAcentral.
UCCGUAUAGGGGCCAGUAUAGCAAUUAC